This is a non-coding RNA of Malus domestica (apple), 962 nucleotides long. Lineage: Eukaryota; Viridiplantae; Streptophyta; Magnoliopsida; Rosales; Rosaceae. The record is from RefSeq and is a predicted model, not a curated record.
AAUAGAACUGCUAUUCGGCAGUUGCAUCUUCAAGCGUGUGAAGUAAACAGUUUUGUAAAAUGAUAAACGUGAACAUGCAUGAAAAUAAAAGCAAACUUGGGAGAGGAAGCAGUUUUGUGGGACAUGUAAAUAAAACACAAAAUAAAAUAACCUCAAGAAAACAAUUUCAAAUUGUUGUGCUAGAGCCUGGAGGAGAAGAUCAAAUUGGAGAAAAACCAACAAGAACUGGUUGUUCUGUAGUUCUCAAUUAUUAAAUUUGUGUGUUUUGUUCUCCAUCACAAUGCUUCUUAUUCCUUAAUUUUCUCAUGCAUUUUCACAGGAUUAUUGAAAAUUUUGCACGUUAAUUGUAGUGGUUUGAUUGUGGUUUUUGUUCUCUGCAGGUUUUUCUUCUCUUAACAUGUCAAAUAAAUCAAUCGAUAGGUUAGGCUUUCAUUUUUUUUAUUUUUCUUCAGAGGACUUUUAAGGACAUCCUCAAGUCACAGUGAUGGAAUCAAAGUCUUCAGACUCUCUUGGGGUUGGCAGACAAGGGGUUGCUUGCAUUGAAACCUCGCUGUCCGGCUUCUCCUUUCUUAUGAAAUUUUAUCCCUUUCCUAUAAGCCAGUUCGUGAAGGCCCUUUUCAAAUUGAGCGUUCCAGGUAAAUGGCGAGAAUUAUUCAAGUAUGCGACAUCAUUUUAAUUUCCUGUGAAAAAUCUUCUCUUAUAAUUCUAUUUGAGUGAUUGAAUGUGCACAUGUGAGCUUUUAGGUUUGGUUUUGUAUUUAUUGGGUGUAGAAAAAUAGGAAGUGAGGCACACAAUAACCCUACCACAAUUAUGUAUGAAAUAAAUUGGAUCUACUAAAAAUUCAUAUUUUGGGUGUGUUGUUAGGAAGAAAUGCCUAAACUCCGAAUUUGUAUGGAACAAAUUCAUUAUAGAAUAAAUUAAUUGUAUGUGUUAUUGCUUUUAGUACUAAAUUGACUUCUUUA